Molecule: RNA transcript, 5072 nt
Organism: Pristis pectinata (smalltooth sawfish)
Lineage: Eukaryota; Metazoa; Chordata; Chondrichthyes; Rhinopristiformes; Pristidae
Gene: mfhas1
Gene name: multifunctional ROCO family signaling regulator 1
Exons: 3
Source: RefSeq, a predicted model, not a curated record
UAGGCAGCCUGAGGGGGCUCGGCUUCCCUCCGCUCUCACCCCCGUCAAUGGCUCCCGGGGUUGGGAGGCGGCGGGCGCCCGGGACACUUGGAGCGGCGGAGGCGGAGACUGCCGGGGCUUGCGGCUGACCAUGUAGAGGGAGCAGCGCCAUGGCCGAGAGCAGUGGCAGCGUGCAGGCGGUGAAAGUGUGGCGGGAGGCGGCGCUGCGCUGCAGGAAACUCCGCCGCAACCUCCGGCAGCUGAGCCUGUGCAGCGCCGGCGAGCAGCGCCUGGCGCUCCCGGACAACAUCGGCCAGGUGCAGAUCCUCGACCUGGCCAACAACUCGCUGCGGGAACUGCCCGACGGCCUGGACGCCUCCCUCACCCGACUGCGGGCGCUGAUCCUGCGGAGGAACCGGCUGUGCCGCCUGCCCGCUCCCGUCUGCGCCCUGGAUCAGCUGGCCGAGCUCGACCUGGCUCACAACUGCCUGGCCCAGCUCCCCGGCGAGCUGGGGCGGCUGCAGCGCCUCCAGAAACUGUGCCUGAGCCACAACAAGCUGCAGCUGCUGCCGCCGCAGAUCGGAGCCUUGCACUGCCUGGAGGAGCUCGACAUCAGCUUCAAUGAGCUGAGCCAGCUGCCGCCCAGCUUCGGGCAGCUGCAGAGGCUGCGGACGCUGGACCUGGAUCACAACCGGCUGACCACCUUCCCCCAGCAGAUCCUGCGCCUCGGAGACCUGGAGGAGCUCGACUUCUCCGGCAACAAGAUCGACGCCCUGCCCCACGAUAUUCUGCAGCUGCGCUCCAUGAAGAUCCUGUGGCUGAGCAGCCUGCGGCUCUCCGACUUGCCGGACACCUUCUGCCAACUCACCGAGCUGGAGAGCCUGAUGUUGGACAACAACGCCUUGCAUUCCUUACCCGAGAGUUUCGGCCGCCUGGACAAGCUCAAGAUGAUCAACCUGUCCUCUAACCUCUUCGAGAACUUCCCGAGCGCCCUGUUGGAGCUGGUUAAUCUGGAGGAGCUGUAUUUGAGCAGGAACAGGCUGUCCGUGAUCCCCCAGAAGAUCUCCAACAUCUCCAAGCUGGCCACGCUGUGGCUGGACAACAACAAGGUGCGCUACCUGCCCGACUCUAUCGUCAGCCUGUGUCACCUGGAGGAGCUGGUGCUGCAGGGCAACCAGAUCGCCAUCCUCCCCGACUCGUUCGGCAAGCUCUCCAAGGUCAGCUUGUGGAAAAUCAAGGACAACCCUCUGAUCCAGCCGCCCUACGAAGUCUGCAUGAAGGGCAUCCCCUACAUAGCCGCCUACCAGAAGGAGCUGGCGCUAUCGCAGCCAGCGCUCAAACCCAGGCUCAAACUGGUGCUCAUGGGUGCCAGGGGCUCGGGGAAGACCUCGCUGAGGCAGUGCCUGGUCGGAAGCAACCCCACUCCCCCGACCAUGCACAGUAACGGCAUCGAGGUGACCCAGUGGGUGGCUGAUGCCGAGAACAACCUGACCUUCAUUGUCUACGAUCUAGCGGGGGAUCCCAAUUACGACCCCAUCCGCCCGUUCUUCCUCUCUCCCGGCGCUCUCUAUGUCUUGGUGGUCAGUCUAAAAGCCUACGAGCCCUGCCGCUUCUACGAGCAGGUCGGUUAUUACCUGCACUUGCUCGGGGCCAGGGUCCCCCACGGGGUGGUGUGCGUGGUGGGGGCACAUGUGGACGAAUGCAGCGAGAGGGAGGUGGAGGAGAAAUGCCUGGACAUCCACCAGCAGAUUUCGGUGCAGGAGAAGCGCGACGUGGAGUGCAUGCAGGCUGUGGCCGAGAAGGUGGACGGGGCUCUCGGCCAGGGCCAGGGGCUGGAUCUGCGGGCUGCUAGCCCGCACGCCCCUUUCUACGGCGUGUCCGACAAGAACUUGCGGAGGAGGAAGGCUCACGUCCAGUACCUGCUCAACAACCGCCUGCAGAUCUUGUCUCCGGUCAUCCCGGUGAGCUGCCCAGGACACCUGGGCGGCAUCGGCCGCCUGAAGGACAAGCUGCUGUCGGUGGCCGAGCACCGGGAGAUCUUCCCCAACCUGCACAGGGUGCUGCCCAGGUCCUGGCAGAGGUUGGAAGAGCUGCACUUUAAGCCUCAGCAGCUGUGGCUGUCCUGGUGGGACUCUGCGCGCCUGGGGCUGCAGGCCGGCCUCACCGAGGACCGCCUGCAGAGCGCCCUGUCCUACCUGCACGAAAGCGGCAAGCUGCUGUACUUCGAGGACAGCCUGACCCUCAAGGAGUGCGUCUUCCACAACCUGACCAAGCUGAUCGACAUCCUCAACGUGUUCUUCCAGCGCGACGCGUCGGUGCUGCUGCGGAAGGUGCUGCCGGACGGCCGGGUGGACGAGCUGAGGGCGGCUCAGCUCCAGCACUUCGUGGAGGGUUUCCUGCUGCACGGCCUCCUCCCGCUGCACGUCGUCCGGCUGCUGCUGAAGCCGCACAUCCAGACGCAGCAGGACCUGCACCUGAUCCUGGAGCUGCUGGAGAAGAUGGGGCUCUGCUACUGCCUCAACAAGCCCAAGAUGACGCCUGUGAACGGGGCGGCGGUGUGGUUUAAGUUCCCGUGCUAUGUGAAAAAUGAGGUGCCCCACGCUGAAGCGUGGAUCAACGGGUUUAACCUCUCGGGGCAGCCCAUUGCAGUCGAGCAGCUGCAGGUGGAGUACAGUUUCCCCUUUCUGUUCCCGCCAGGGCUGUUUGCCAGGUACAGCGUCCAGAUCAACUCUCAUGUCGUGCACCGAUCGGAUGGUAAAUACCAGAUCUUUGCUUACCGGGGCAAGGUUCCCGUGGUCAUCAGCUACAAACCAUCCCAAAGCUGCUUGCAAGCGGACACCUUAUCUAUUGCCAGCCACGCCACCUUGCCAAAUAUUUGGACUGCAUGGCAAGCCAUAAUCCCUUUGGUGGAAGAACUAAACGUGCUGCUCCAGGAAUGGCCGGGGUUAUACUUUUCUGUGCAUGUCCUGUGUUCCAAGUGCCUUAAAAGAGGGUCGUCAAAUCCUCACACCUUCCCAGGGGAGCUAUUGACCCAACCCAGGCCUGAAGGAGUGACUGAGAUUAUCUGCCCCAAAAAUGGGAGUGAGCGUGUGGAUGUGGCCCUGGUUUAUCCCCCGACCCCCACUGUGAUCAGUCCCUGCUGUAAGUGAGCAGUGGGCCACCCUGCUAGUCUUCCUCAGAAAAGAUACCUUUAAAAUUCUGUUCAAAUAUUUGGCAGACAACAAGUUUUUUUAGCAAGAAUAAGGUUGAUGUUCAGCUGAGGCAUUUGUGAACAGUUGAGGAAUGUCUAUUCGUCCUUGGAUAUGUGAAGAGAAGAAUUGAUGCUCUACACAUGGAUGCUCUUUUACAAUGGAUUCAAAGCAGCUCCACAAUAGGCACAAGUCAUUGAGGAUCUUGCACCCGACCAACUGACUGUCGCUAUACACAAAGCUUAGAAAGCUUUCUCGUCCACUUUGAACUGUCCUCCUUUGGAAGGGGAACAGUGGAUUUUUAUCAUUUGAAAGCAGAUUGACCCACUCAAUCAAUUCUUUUGAUGGAUAAAUGCAGUGUAUACAAUCUACAAAAUGCACAGGAGUUAUUCACUUAGGCUAUUCCAACAGCAUUUCCCAAAUCUGUGAUUGCUACCAGCAAGGAGGACAAGGGCAGCAGGCACAUAGGAAAACCACCACCUGCAGGCUCCACUUACAAGUCGCAGACCAUCCUGACUUGGAAGUAAAUCGCUAUUCCUUCAUCAUCGCUGGAUGCAAAUCCUUGAACUCCCUAUCCAACAGCACUGUGGGAGUUCCUUCACCAGAAAGAUGGCACUGUUUCAAGGAGGUGGCUCAUUUGAGGGCAAUUAGGGAUGGGCAAUAAAUCUUAGUGUCGCCAGCAAUGCCCACAUUCCUUAAAAAUGAAUAAAUAAUAAGAAAGACACACAGAGUUCCACCAACUAUUUCUGGAACAAGUGGCUCCUCAGGGAUUUUCUUUUGCAGUGUUUAAUGAAAGCCAUACUUAGUGUUGUCUAAAGUGUUGUAGGAAUAAAAUGCCAAAAGUAAUUUAUCUUUUCUUGAGUGGGCUCAGAUCAGAGUCUGCAAAAGCGUAUCAUCACCAUUUUAUUUUCUAAACUUACUGAAAUGUUUAAUUUAGAGUCUGCUUCAUUUAAAAAAAAUGUGUUUGUGCAAUACUCAAUGUGACAAAACAGUCUUUUCACAUUUGCUUUCUUCCGCCUUUAUUGGAACCAGUUUUAAGAAAGGCUCUUAAUAGACCCUGAUCAAUCUCAUCAAUCUGCCUGGGCAUGAAAAGUUGGAUAAAAUUAUCAAUGCCAAAUCAUCUAUAUAUAUUUGUUUCGAGGUAUUCAUUAAAAUAUAAUUCUGGGGAACAAUUAUUUACAAGUUGCAUUUUUGUAAACAAAACUAUAUCUCAAAAUCUCAAAAUUUUCAUUGGCAACACCCCUUCCCAAAGCACCCUGUUGCGGUGUGGGUUCUUCAUGUUCGGUUCAUCUCAGUGAUAGCAUUCUCAUCCCAAAGUCAGAAGCUUGUGAGUUCAAGUUCCACUUCCAAGACCUGAGCUCAUGUACCAGGCCGACACUACAGGGCAGUAUUGGGCAGAGCCAUGCCACUGGAGCUGCCUUUUGCCAAAUGAGAUAUUAAACCCUCUUGGAUGAUUGGAGACAAUCCCAUGGUGUUACUUGAAGAGCAGGGGAGUUUCCUUGGUGUGCUGAACAACAUUUAUCCCUUCCACCAAAAGAAAAUUAUCUAAUUGUUCAUUCAUUUGCUGUUUGUGGAAUUUUGCUGUGUGAACAAUGUUGGGCAAGGUUGCCUACAAAAGACUAAUAACACUUCAGGAGUUGAUCUGUUGAAUGUGAAGCGUGUUGGGACAUCCUGAGGGCAUGAUAAGGUAGUACAUAAAGACAAGCUUUUUCUGCUCCGAAGGAAAUUGUAGAACUGUGUAUUGUCAAAUAAAAGUGUUUUUCUUUAUAUCAAUUAAUCCAAAAGGAAGAAGAGAGAAUCAGUGCAGCCUACAAAUAUCUUAUUUUUUACGUCUUGUUAAUAAAACAUGUAUUGCAAUGGAACUGAAACAUUUGCACAUCAGUCACCUUGGAUAUUUAACACUAA